GUCCCAGACUCCUACGGGAGGCAGCAGUGGGGAAUAUUGGACAAUGGGGGGAACCCUGAUCCAGCGACGCCGCGUGAGUGAAGAAGUAUUUCGGUACGUAAAGCUCUAUCAGCAGGGAAGAAAGAAAUGACGGUACCCGACUAAGAAGCCCCGGCUAACUACGUGCCAGCAGCCGCGGUAAUACGUAGGGGGCAAGCGUUAUCCGGAUUUACUGGGUGUAAAGGGGGCGCAGACGGCGAUGCAAGCCAGGAGUGAAAGCCCGGGGCCCAACCCCGGGACUGCUCUUGGAACUGCGUGUCUGGAGUGCAGGAGGGGUAGGCGGAAUUCCUGGUGUAGCGGUGAAAUGCGUAGAUAUCAGGAGGAACUCCGGUGGCGAAGGCGGCCUGCUGGACUGCAACUGCCGUUGAGGCCCGAAACCGUGGGUAGCAAACAGGAUUAGAUACCCCGGUAAG
Molecule: ribosomal RNA, 452 nt
Filed under: uncultured bacterium
Lineage: Bacteria
Description: bacterial SSU rRNA
Rfam family: Bacterial small subunit ribosomal RNA
Source: RNAcentral